This is a long non-coding RNA of Heterocephalus glaber (naked mole-rat), 7772 nucleotides long. NCBI's taxonomy places the organism in Eukaryota, Metazoa, Chordata, Mammalia, Rodentia, Bathyergidae. The record is from Ensembl.
GCCAGGUUCUGGAUCCCAGAUAAAAAUGGAGAGAGGAAGGGCUUUCCUCAGCUUCUCCACCCAGCUUAGGAGAGUAAUAGCAGCUUGCAAACAACCUGGACUAGUGCGUUGGCUCCAGAGAAGAGGUCAGGAGAUUCGGAAUCUCCAUCAUACAUUUCCAACUUGCAUGCAAAAAUAAUCAGGCAAGAACAGAGGACCAGUGUGGAGCAUGCCAUCAUGACCAAGGAUCAGCAAAAGCAGAGGCAGAGUCGCCCAAUUUGGCACAGAAACAGGAUACCAGGCAAUAGGAACCUAAGCACAGUACCCAGAAUUUGGGGGAACACAGGAGAGAGUGAGCAGUCAGUGAUGAGAGGGGCCGGUGCUGGCCUAUCCUCGGAUUAGGGGACUCUAGUGAAUGGAUGUCUUCGAUCCCAAUCCCAGAAGCUCAGUGGACAAAUUGCUCCCAGGGGGUGACAAACAACUUGGAUAUUUCAAGAAGUUGCCUUAGCUUUGAGGCUGUCUGGAGAGAAUGGAGAGGCUGAACACGUGGGACACAGGAGGCUGGGCCAGCACUGGAGCACCGCAGAUUCCCCGUGAGUAAGAGUGAAUCACCAGCCCAGGCUUCCUCCUGGCCAGGCAGAGGCAAUGGCCCAGUUUUGUAAUUGCUGAAGGUGCUUGUUGUGGAGAGUCAGUUGCCUCGCCCUGAUCUGCAUACAAUGGGCCACUGCCAGCCCAGAGACCCGGAAGCAGCCUUCCACAGUCACACCUCAGCUUCCCUGUCCCUACUCCAGGCAGUUCCAUCCACUUCCUCAAAAAGCAUCCUCGAAUUUUCCUCAGCCAGCCCCUUCCUGUCCUGUCUUCAGGCUGGCAAGCGACACUGUUGACAUCAUGUCUGCCGAGGGAGGAGAGAUUCCAAGAGGUGACUUGUGAUGUCACCCUCAUCCAAGACUGAAGGUGUUUGGUCUUUUGUCAUCUGCUGUGCAUUCCUCUGUGUCUUAACUGGAGCCAGAGUCCCUGAGGCACAGCCUAGGACAGGAAAGUCACUCUGAGAUGGUUACAACAUCUUUCUUUCAUCAGUAAAUCCAGAGGACUCAGAGGUAGUGUAAAACUAUUGCUGUGGGAUUUGUUCAUUCAUUCAGUGAGAAAUUUUCCAUUUUUUUGAAGCUAGCAAAAGGUGCAGGCUGGUGGCCUUGGUUAGUAUCUGACUGACAAAAGACAGAUUUGGAUUAAAGCUUGUGGGAUCCUUGAAUGCUGAUCCAAGUACUGCCAUGGAUAGUAUCCAGAGGGGAACCAUUGAAAUGUUGCCAGAAGGGAAACAAACCCAAUUUUCUCAUUCUCACUACUUUCCUGUAGACAGUAACAGUUUGCCCAUCGAUCCAACAAACUCUGUUGUGCCCCUCCAAGAGCACAGGGAUGCUGGCUGCAGGGUGCAGGAUGGUGUCCCCAGGGCCUGUUCUGGUCCCUCAGUGAGCAAUGGCAGAGCCUUGGGCCCGCCCCCAGGGUCCAGAAGGGAAAUGGGAAGCAAAGGCAGAAGCCAGGAACAGGGACAGCUGGUUGGCUGACCUUCCUACCCAGGUCCAGCCCUCCCCCAAGGUGUGACCUGUGCGAGAAAUGGAUCCACAGCUGCAGUUUCAAAACCGGCCCUGCCCAAGCUGGUCACCUCCAUUGCAGUAAGUGACCUACAUUAAUGCUACUGCUGGGGCAGGCAGGGGCAUGAGUGCUGACAGGAGAGUUAAAUUAGCCUGGGAGGUAGGCACCGGGGAAGUUAAGUAGAAAGUAAAACCCAAAGGAUGGAGGUGCUUUGGGGACUGUGAGGGGGAGGUGGGCUGGGAAGAAAGGCAGCAGUCAGCCCAGCAGGGUGGCCUGCUUUGGGGGGCAGUGGGAAUCAGGCAGGAAAGGCAGGUUUGAACUAGCCUAUGGGUGUCCCUAAAGUUCAAGUAAUUGCCCAGGUUGGAUUCAGAGAAGAUCCCAGUGUGUGCUGAGGAGGAUCAAAUACUAACUGAGAACCGCACAGAUGUCGGAGACUGUGUUAGUGAAGGGGUUCAUCAUGGGUGUGGCUUGCCCCCCAGGGACAGUUUCUAGUUUGGGGGAUGGGUCAGAAAUGUGGUAGCAAUAUUUGCAGGCUCUUCAUGUUGCUUAGGGAGGAGGCAAAAGACCUGACUGGGAGGGCAGGAUUGGGGUGGGUAGGUGGGUGGGGCUGUACACCACCAGGGUUCUGCAAUAAUCUCUCAGUCACAGACCGAAGAGAGAGCCAGGGAAGGGAUGAAGGACUAGGCAGGGACCUGAGGCAGGAGUGGAAGGGAAGAUGGGAGAGUGGAGGAGCAGUCACUUGGAUGGAUGGACAGGGUCGGAGGAGACCAGGACGAAAGGCAUCCAUAGGAAAAUGGGUGUGGCUUGGUACUGGGUGAGACAGCUGCACGGAAUGGGAGGGGAAGAAAAAGGACAGACACGUGGGCUCUGGGGAUGUGUGCGCUGCCUUGCUCUCAAAUCCGGUUGUUUUCCUAUAGCUGGGUUUUGCUUUUAAAUAAAUCGGUUAUUCCUUCCUGUUAUAGAAAGAGAAGAAAACUCUCCCCAGCCUCCCAAAGACCAAUACUGCCAACACUUUGGAAAUAUUUCUGUCAGGUCAUUUUUCCUGCAUCAAUUUCUGUUUGGUUUUCACAUUGUUCUAAUCAUACUGUGUUUACAACUUUGUAUCCUGUUGCAUUUAACAUCCAGGGUGUAUCUGGAUUUUUUUUCUGCAUGUUAAAUUUAUCCUGGUUAUUAUAAAUGUUCAUUUUCCAUAUGUAGUUAUGUAAAGAGUAUCAUUCCAUUGUUUUUUUUCUUUCUUCACAGCAAACUUUGAAAAUGUUGCUUCCUCCCCAAUUCCUCCUCUCUCUCUUUCAUCCUUCUUUCUCUCUUCCCUUUUCCCUUCCUGCUGCUUACUAGUCCCCCCUUACUGCCUUCUUCCAUCUCUGGAGUCAGGAGCAGGGGCUCUUUCCUUGGUAAGAGACACAGACAGGACAUCUAUAAAGCCACAGGUCCAGGAGUCCUGGGGCACCUGCUUGGCAGAAGGAAAACAUCUGAUGAUAAGUCUCCCAGCUGAUUGGUAACUAACUCCACCCCUGGGCUGGAUGUGAGGGUGUGGAGAGGCAGGUGAGGCUGGGGCAAGGUGUCUCAAGAUGUUACCUAGGGUGUUUAAGAAUAUAGAGUCUCGGGCCUGGGAUUUAGCUCAGUGGUGCCACUGCCUGCCUGGCAAGCGCAAGGUCCCGAGUUUGAUCCCGGGUACCAAAACAAAACAAAACAAGAAUAUAGAGUCUUGGGUCGGGGAUUUAGCUCAGUGCUGCUGCCUGCCUGGCAAGAACAAGGUUCCAAGUUCGAUCCCUGGUACCAAAAAAAAAAAAUAAAUAAAAAUAAAAUAAAUAUAAGAAUAUAGAAUCUCUGAAAAAUGGAAAUAAAACACAUUCCAUUUAGAGUGAAAGAGGGUCUGGUCUGUCAGUAAGCCCUGGCCCAUCGUGGAAAGAGCGUUUCAUUAUCAUAGAGUAUUCACAGUAAUGUUUCAAAAAACCUGUGAGUCCUUCUUUUGCUUGGUGUCAUUAAUGGGCAGGUGUACACAGUCCCCACCUCCGCCACCUACACACUGUCCUUCCUUCUUCUCUGUCUGUCUGUCUCUCUCUCUCCCAACCCAGUGAAAUUUCCAAAGGCAUCUUUGUUCAGUAAUCAUGACAAUCUCCCUUGUCCCAAAUGCUUCCCUGUCCCCAGCCCCUGUGCAUAUAUUUCUCAUCAUGCCACAGGAGGUAGGGACUAUCACGCCUAGAGCAUGCCUUGCUUGUCCCCAGUCACUUGACCAGAUCACACAAAGAAAAAGCAGGAGAGCCUGGAUUGAAACUCAGGUGACUGACCCCCAAAGUCCUUUCCCUGAACCACCACACCCCACUGUGUUACAUUUGUGCUUCACAUUUUCAAAUCAAGAAUGCAGUGCUGGUGGAAAUUAAUUGCAGAGACACUCAUGAUGUUCAAAGCUCUUGCACUGUGAAUGUAGAUGAUGUACCAAGGACUCUGCAUUGUUGAUGAUUCAGAUUUUGGGUGACUGCAUGGAAGAACCUAUCUUUCCCUAAGUUUUCAGGGAGCUGAGGUGGUUCAGCUGCUCUUAUAGAUGUUGAGGCUUUGACUCCAUGACUAAGGGCCUCAGUGGGAAAGGACUGUGUGUUGCACUGGUCUAAUCUAAUUAGGACACUGCUGCCUGUCUCUGAGGACUGGAAGAGUCCACCCUCUCUCAUCCAGUGCCUCUGUUCUGUCUCUUUAUUGGCCUCAGAGCAGGGAGUAUACCAAAUAAAGCACCCCGCCAGGAAGAAGGGGUCACCAGUGUCAGGCUGAAGACCCCUCUGUGCAGCUGCCUGGAGACUCCUGCAUGACCUUCCCUUGGGGAAGCAGCUGGGCCUGGCAUGUACCCACCCACUAGCCACAUGUUUCCUGCCCCAAAUGUCAUUUGACCAUGAUAUAAUGAGCUGUAUAAAAUUAAAAAUGGCUAAAUACCACCUUAUUUACAGUAAUUUUCUACUUUCUGAAGUCAUCCCCAAACCUCUCCUUUACAACACCGACCUCCAGAUCAUGCCAAUUGCAGUGAGAAGCCCAUCAUUACAACCACAGACCACGAGGAAACUAGCACAGGACCUGGAGCUUGCUGGCUCACUGGCUGCUGCUCUGGCCCCAUCAGCCUGUUUUUCCAUCACAUGCUUUUUAGGCAGUAGGGAACUGGGCAGAGGGAACCCUCAGUUCUCUGCCCCCAAACUGGGGACCCUUAAGAAUAUCUCCAAGUAAGCAGCUGGGUUCAGAGGAACGUGUACAUCCACUUGCCGGAGUUGGAGUUGGGAUUUGGGCUUCUGCAAUCUGCACUUGGGCCUUACAAAGUGUGAGUCUUAUUUGUAGGUGGCUCUUGAGUCAUUGUUGUGUCUUAAUCUGUGUGGACAGUCUUGCAGCACCCUCCUUCUUCCUAAGGCUAUCUGUUAUGGACUGGAUUGUGUACCUCUUCCAGCCUCCAAUUCAUUUGUUGAAGCCAUAAUGUGGCUCAGAAUGUGACUAUAUCUUUACCAAGGGCCUUUAAGGAAUUCAUAAGUUAAAUAAGAUCACAUGGAUGGGCCUUCAUUAGAUAGGACCGGUGUCCUUAGCAGAAGAGGAGGAAACACUGGAGCUUGCUCUCCUCAUGCUCACAGAGAGAAAGAGGGCCCUGCCAACACCUUGACCUGGGAUUUCCAACCUCCAGACCUGAGAGAAAAAAAAUUCUGUUGCUUAAUCUACUUGGUCUGUGGUAUUUGAUUAUGGCAACCUUAGAAAAUGAAUAUAUCGUCUGUGUGAUUUCUUAUAUGAUAAGGUCUUACAAUGAAACAUAAAUGAAUUGAUGACUAUUUCUAUAAGGAAACUGAUAAGAACCCUUGAGUUAUCAUGGGAAGAGUUAAAUUCUCCAUGCUUGAGCUAGUUUAGCCAGUUCUUUCUUAUUGGCAAAAAUUCUACAGUUGAAAUUAUUUAAGACAUUAACUAAAACAAUCUUAAGUCUCUCUAUUUCCUGCUCUUUCUGUUCCCGUUACUUUUUUUUUUUUUUUUUUGAGAUAGGAUCUUACUCUGUAGCUCAGGCUGGCCUUGAACUUUCUAUCCUCUUGCCUCAGCCUCCUGAGUGCUGGGAUUACAGGUGUGUAACGACCACAUUUGGCAUCCCACUACUCUUAAUCACUCUCAUUCCUCCUCCUCUAGUCCAACCCUUGGCAAGUCAGGGCAUUGGCCUGUUGACAUUGAGCACUCUUCCAGGCCACCUCUGUGUUAGGCACUGGAGGUAUAGGAAUGAAGGAAGCAGAUCAUGGCCCUUGCUCUUACAUGGCUUCUGUUGAAGUAGGGGAAAGCAGAAAUCAAAAUAAACAAGGAAUGUAUCUGAGAGUGAAAAGCUAGUGAGUAAUUCAAACCACAGCAGUGUGAUAGUGGCUGAGAGCCUGCUGAGAUGGGGCAAAGAGAAACCUGUCCUGUCCACCCUUUCAGAAACAUUUUUCACCUUGCCUCUGUUGCCACCCCCACCACAUGAACCCAUGUGCCUUGGCUGGGUUCCUGCCAAAGCUUUCUGACUGGUGGUCUAUCUGCCACCUCGUUGGCCUUACUGUAAUCUACUUUCCAUAUAGCAGUUAGUGGAUUAUUUUAAAAAUGCAGCCAGUUCUCAUUAUUCACAAUAGUCAUGCUCUAUAAAGUCAACUCAAACACUGAAUUAGGGAAUGUGGAAACAUUGCUCCUGGGGGGAAUGCAGGGCUGGCUUCCUUCAAGCCUCUGGCCACAACACUCCUCCACCCAUCACUAUAUGACCUUGUUUUAUGUGAGUUUCUGUGUAGACACCUUGUUUAAUCCAUAUUUCUGACUCACUAACAUUGAACUCUCAGCCAGUUGCACCACAGCAGCCUGCAUGGAGCUUCUCUACCACGUGUACACUCUUCAUGAGGCCCAGUUAGCCUUCCUGCACUCCUGACAUAGACAGUGCUGCUGUUCCGAGGGAAUGUGGGCCCGAGGAGUGAGCAUUUGAGAAAGCAAAACCAAUGAAAGAAAGACAAGAAGUGCAAAGAAAGAAGAAAAAAGGCACUGAAGACAUUGUUUACAUUCUGAGAGUGGAAACAAGGCAGAGUGUCUCCCUGUCCGACCUUAGCUGGGAGCCCACAGAUCGGGUGACUCACUUUCACUUUGCUCCUGUCUGUGAAUGACUUCAGACUUGCUGCCCAGAGUUGAUUUAGGGUUACACACAUGUAUGCGCGCUUGUGUGUGCACGUGCACACACACACAUAUACACAAGCACACACGCAAAUAUGGUUUUCAAGAGUCUCAUCCAAAAUUCGGGGGUUGCUAAUGUGAUGGUUCUAAGAGGUAGGGCCUUUGAGGAGCAAUGAGGCCAUGAGGCUCCUCAUCUCUGAGUGGGAGGACCCAGAGACAUGGGCCAUCUUGGAAGCAGAGAGCGGCCCUUGCUAUGGUGUGCACCAAACCUGCUGGUGCCUUGGUCUUGGACUUCUCAGUUUCUAGAAGUGUGAGAAAUAAAUUCUAUUUUUUUAUAAAUUACCCAGUUUCAGGCCUUUUGUUAUAGCAACACAAAGACACGUGCUCACACUGCACAUACACACUGCCUCCUUGUUUUUUCUUCCCCAUUUUUCUUUCUCAAUUUGAUCAUUACGGCAGGAACAUUUCUCUUUAUUCCAUUGGUGAGCUACAAGUGCCAUGUAGGAGUUGAUGUUCAGAGGGAUAACAGACUCAGUGCCUCAAACCUUCAAUAUUUGUUAAGUAAAUGACUGAAUGCUUUAGGAAAAGUCCUUGAGUUAGGAACUAUUUCUUUACACUGAAAUCCUCAGUUCUAGUCAAUGUCUAGCUGUGGAUAGCUAAGUUUGAUAAGUGACUGAAUGAAGAAUAGAAUGACAUGUUUUAAACACUAAACUAAAGUAGAAGAACAGUGCUUAGUGACUCUGAAGUUUUUGAAAAGUAUCUAGAUAUUCUCUUCAGAACUUCACAAAAUUAUUUGUCAAUUUCUUCAUCUAUAUUUAGACUUACUUUACUUUGUUUUUUUAAAAAAAUUACUUCUUCAAUAUUGUUUUUUAGUCUUCUGACUUUAAAAAGAUUACUCAAUUUUAUUGAUUGCCAAUAAGAAUAUUUCAGCUCUGCAGUGAUUUAAAAAGAUUUUUAUAGAUGGAGAACUUAAUCUUUAUCUAUUUAUGAUUAUGUUCAUGAGAAAAAUAGAUUCCAAGGCCCAAAAAUUACACCUUACCUAUUGAUUUCUGAAAAUGUAAUUCAUUUCAUAAUGUGGG